RNAcentral lists this ribosomal RNA (253 nucleotides) under uncultured bacterium. RNAcentral describes it as "partial 16S ribosomal RNA". It matches the Rfam family "Bacterial small subunit ribosomal RNA", at positions 524 to 776 of the family's 1533-position model. The record is from RNAcentral.
UACGUAGGGGGCAAGCGUUAUCCGGAUUUACUGGGUGUAAAGGGAGCGUAGACGGUUAUGCAAGUCAGAAGUGAAAGCCCAAAGCUCAACUUCGGGACUGCUUUUGAAACUGUGUAACUAGAGUGCAGGAGAGGUAAGCGGAAUUCCUAGUGUAGCGGUGAAAUGCGUAGAUAUUAGGAGGAACACCGGCGGCGAAGGCGGCUUACUGGACUGUAACUGACGUUGAGGCUCGAAAGCGUGGGGAGCAAACAGG